Drosophila ananassae is the source of this 315-nucleotide long non-coding RNA. RefSeq lists it as uncharacterized. The record is from RefSeq and is a predicted model, not a curated record. Lineage: Eukaryota; Metazoa; Arthropoda; Insecta; Diptera; Drosophilidae. The transcript has 3 exons.
UCAACGUAUGCCAUACGUUUACCUUCCCAGUAUUCAAUUUCGAAUUCAAAUGUUUGGAGGAACUCCCACCAACGAUAAAUCCUAGAUAGUGACGAAAAUUUUUUACUGCAUUCACAACGGCCAACGUUUCCAAUUCAUAUGAUGUAUAUCUGAACUCGCAGGGGCUAGUUGCUCUGCUAAAGUAUUCGACCACAUGGGGCUUAAAGUUUAUGCGGUGCAAAAGAUGGCACCAUACCCGAUAGAGCUGGCGUCGGUAUGCAGUUCUAUGGGAAAUUGAGGAUCAAAAAUAAUCAAGAUUGCCAAGAAUCAAGAAGU